GAAAAUUUAGUUAAACUAAUAACGUUAGCUUGUCAAACUAAAAUCAUUAAAUUUAUUUGAUAAUUUUCA
Molecule: transfer RNA, 69 nt
Filed under: Staphylinidae sp. BMNH 1274658
Lineage: Eukaryota; Metazoa; Arthropoda; Insecta; Coleoptera; Staphylinidae
Description: tRNA-Asp
Source: RNAcentral